GACGAACGCUGGCGGCGUGCUUAACACAUGCAAGUGGAGCGACGAACCAGGCUUCGGCCUGGGGCAGAGCCGCGAACGGGUGAGUAACACGUGGGUAACCUGCCCCAAUGACCGGGACAACUCGGGGAAACGUCGAGCUAAUACCGGAUGUGCCUUCUUCACAUCAGUGAUGAAUAGGAAAGGAAAGCUUCGGCCUCCGCGUUGGGAGUCGGCCCGCGGCGCAUUAGCUU
This 230-nucleotide ribosomal RNA is filed under the name uncultured bacterium. Its description in RNAcentral is "partial 16S ribosomal RNA". It matches the Rfam family "Bacterial small subunit ribosomal RNA", at positions 28 to 247 of the family's 1533-position model. The record is from RNAcentral.